Molecule: ribosomal RNA, 1247 nt
Filed under: Bacillus subtilis
Lineage: Bacteria; Bacillati; Bacillota; Bacilli; Caryophanales; Bacillaceae
Description: partial 16S ribosomal RNA
Source: RNAcentral
AUGGCAGGAUAGAAUCGAGAAACAUAUAGUAUCAAAGUUAAGAAUCAAGCUUGAGAAUACUGUACAAGAGAAUAGGACCCCACAGCGACUUGCCACAUACAUAUUAGCGAGGCUGAUGACGAAUAGAGAGCAAGGACUGUCUGGGUAAGUAACGUCAAGGUAUCUGUCCCCAUUCGAACGGUACUUGUGCUUCCCUAACAACAGAGCUUACCUCACCGACUCCGAAAGCCGUCAUCAAACUCACGCGGCGUUGAUCCGGCAGACUGUCGUACAAGGCCCGGGAACGUAUUCACCGACGGCAUGCCGAUCCCGCAGGAGUACUAGGCCGAUGUCUCAGCUUCACGCAGUCGAGUUGCAGACUGCGACCCUCUCAGAACUGAGAUACAGCAUCGUCGCCUUGGUGAUUGCCGUUAACCUCACCAACUAGCUAAUGCGCCUUUGUUCGGGUCCAUCUGUAGCACGUGUGUAGCCCAGGUCAUAAGCGGCACCUGUUAUGAUUUGAACGUCAUGCCCUUCAAACAACCAUCCGGUAUUAGCCACCGGCAGUCACCGUAGAGUGAUCCCAAUCUGACAGGCAGGCUACCCACGUAAGUUACUCAACCGUCCGCCGCUAACAUUGCAGGGAGCUUAAGCUCCAACAUCUGUCACGACACGAGCUUGACGACAACCAGGCACCACCUGUCACUCUGCCCCCGAAGGGGACGUCCUAUCUCUAGGAUUGUCAGAGGAUGUCAAGACCUGGUAAGGCUCUUCGCGUUGCUUCGAAUUAAACCACAUGCUCCACCGCUUGUGCGGGCCCCCGUCAAUUCCUUUGAGUUUCAGUCUUGCGACCGUACUCCCCAGGCGGAGUGCUUAAUGCGUUAGCUGCAGCACUAAGGGGCGGAAACCCCCUAACACUUAGCACUCAUCGUUUACGGCGUGGACUACCAGGGUAUCUAAUCCUGUUCGCUCCCCACGCUUUCGCUCCUCAGCGUCAGUUACAGACCAGAGAGUCGCCUUCGUCACUGUUGUUCCUCCACAUCCUACGCAUUUCACCGCUACACGUGGAAUUCCACUCUCCUCUUCUGCACUCUAGUUCCCCAGUUUUCUAUGACCCUCCUCGCUCUGAUCUGGGGGUUUUCUCAUCAUAUCUAUGAAUCCGCCUGCGAGUCCUUUUACGGGGGUUAAAUUCCGGGAAAAUGCUUGGCCACCUUCCUAAUUAACGGCGCUUGCUUGCCCGGUAAUUUAACCCGUGUGUCUGGUUUAAG